UCCCCUGCACAACAAAGCUGACGUUAUUAAUUCACUCUGGGACCCAGUGUGUUUGUCACAACUCCUUUGAUGCCAAGUGAUAUAAUAACAACUCAAACCAGCUAAAACCAGAAAAAGAAUUAAUAAAUUAUUAACUCAGAAGUUUCCAUCUUCAGGUGGUGUCUCAAUCUGUGGCAAAGAAGGCUCCAAGGCUCCAGGGCUGCACACCUUUACUGCUGGUGGGAAUUCAGUGUGAUUGUGGGAGGACAUGAUGCCUGGCACCACAGCAGCCUCUUCUUAACCUGAGGAAUCAUACCUGAAGAUGGUCGAGUGGAGCAAUGCAAAGAACCAGAUGCCAAGAAUCUGGGCUUCCAACAGUAUCACUGAGCUGCUGAAUUGACUAGCCCUGCACCUGGGACCUCUUUCUAGUUGGCAAGAUAAUGUAUUCUCAUUGUUGAAGCCACUUUUAAGAAGGAUGGAUUCUUAACCACUGGACCAUCAGGGAAGUCCCUGAGAAGGUACUCUUUACUUGCAACUGAAAGCAUCCUACCUGAUAAGAAUGGUUGAACUGACUUCUUCAGUCAGAGAGGUAGGAAUUGGCUC
Long non-coding RNA from Cervus elaphus (red deer), 582 nucleotides. RefSeq lists it as uncharacterized. The transcript is spliced from 4 exons. Lineage: Eukaryota; Metazoa; Chordata; Mammalia; Artiodactyla; Cervidae. The record is from RefSeq and is a predicted model, not a curated record.